RNAcentral lists this long non-coding RNA (1573 nucleotides) under Helianthus annuus (common sunflower). RNAcentral's name for it is "hypothetical non coding rna". Lineage: Eukaryota; Viridiplantae; Streptophyta; Magnoliopsida; Asterales; Asteraceae. The record is from RNAcentral.
GUUGUCAAAAUUUCAAAUCUCGCAACCGUUUAUUGUUCAUCAUUAUCCAAACUCCAUUCAAAUUAAAUGGUUAUCUUCUUCAAACGAUACGGGCGAAGAUUGAGGUAUUACUUCCUCUUAACUAACCGUAAUAACUUUGACCCCGAAUUCGAACUCCUCACAUAAAUUUCUACCUUAUUUCUCCGCGAUAACCCACCGCACAACCCGUAGCACCACCAUCGGCCGCCGCGAAUCAGGUAAGAGCCAAGUUUCACAUAUGAUGGUCGUUGACGUCGCCUCCGCACCGCCCAUCGUAUUCCGUCGUAACCAACUUUGUUCGUCGGAACUUCCCAUCUUACCAACGGGUCCGUCACUUUAGUUCUCCGAUCAAGACCAGGCUGCAACCAUUGCUACUGUUCGACUUGUUUCCGUUCGAAUUGUUAGAGAACUUUUAUUGUUUAUUUACGGCGGCUCAGUUCGUAAACUAAGGUUUGCGUACUUUUGGGAACGACUUGACGUUUGUGUUGCUUUGUUUGCUAAUAAGGUAAUCAAGGGAAACGGGGAUGAGUGAGAGGAAACAUGAAGUUUAAGGAGUUUUUGAAAUUUCAGUGUUUAUUUAUUUUCAGUAAUUAAAUAAAUUAAGACUUAGGUUUUCUGGUGGAUUCGAGACUUUUGUUUCUAUCGUUUAUUGAAACUCUUUGGUUUUUGAUAUCUGUAAUAGUGACAUGCCAGCCUGUUCCAGGUUGGGGUGUUACACAAACAGUCUCUGCUGUCUUAUUGCAUUCCAAAACAGUGCAGUGGAGACCGGAAGCAGAUUGUUUCUGAAGAGCAAGUGAGUAUUUGUUCUAGAACAUGCCUACGCGGGUGUCAAAGCCCUUUGGAAACAAUAUACUUACUACCUCCAGCCUCGUCGCAAGUAUCCAAAUGGGAUUCAUGGGGAAGUUAGUACUUGUUUAAACGGUGGUAUCAAGAACAGUGGUCACAUUUCAUGAUUACCCACAAAAAUGUUUUGAAGAAAGCUUUGAUCUUGAUCACAAAAGAAAAGCUUUCAUUAUCAUCAUAAUCUGAACCAGAUGAAAAUCAACAUAGGGCGAUGAUGUGAAGAGUUGUUUGAAAUAUUUAGUAUGUUACCAAACACUUGAGAGUUGAAUUGAUCUAGAAAUUUCUGGAAACAGUUCACAGAGAUCAUCAAGGUCUACUCCAAGGUCAACAAGUGGAUAUACCUUCUUAACUAACAAUAUCAACGGACCAAUCUGGCAAUCCUUUCAAGCGGUAAAUAACUAAAUAUUUACACUACAUUUUCUCUCAUCAAGAUCAAGUAGAAAAGACUACGGAGCCUGAUCUAGACCUAACAAUGACAUUAAAGUCCUUCAAUAUGCAAACGGCUUGAAACCUGGUAAUACUAAAUAAGGAAAUAUAUGUCAACAGGUUCAUGGUCUAAUUCAAACUAUAGAUACUCUAAAUGAACCUUCACUGAAAUGAAAUCGUUCAUGGUUGAAUUUAGCUCCGAUAUGCUGCUAUACUCACUUUUAAUUCAUUCUUUACAAGUUGUAUAAAACACUAGAUUUGAUCAUUCAGUUUAAAUAAACUACUA